GGGGUCGUAGCUCAAAUGGUAGAGCGCGCGCUUAGCAUGCGCGAGGUACCGGGAUCGAUACCUGGCGACUCCA
Molecule: transfer RNA, 73 nt
Filed under: Ostreococcus tauri
Lineage: Eukaryota; Viridiplantae; Chlorophyta; Mamiellophyceae; Mamiellales; Bathycoccaceae
Rfam family: tRNA
About the family: Transfer RNA (tRNA) molecules are approximately 80 nucleotides in length.
Source: Rfam by way of RNAcentral